UUGAUGGAGAGUUUGAUCCUGGCUCAGGACGAACGCUGGCGGCGUGCUUAACACAUGCAAGUCGAGCGGUAAGGCCCUUCGGGGUACACGAGCGGCGAACGGGUGAGUA
This 109-nucleotide non-coding RNA is filed under the name Marinactinospora thermotolerans DSM 45154. Its description in RNAcentral is "Bacterial small subunit ribosomal RNA". It matches the Rfam family "Bacterial small subunit ribosomal RNA", at positions 1 to 112 of the family's 1533-position model. The record is from Rfam by way of RNAcentral. Lineage: Bacteria; Bacillati; Actinomycetota; Actinomycetes; Streptosporangiales; Nocardiopsidaceae.